UCGUAGGUACCCAGAGGCGGC
RNAcentral lists this small RNA (21 nucleotides) under Bombyx mori (domestic silkworm). RNAcentral describes it as "ovarian small RNA-29157". Lineage: Eukaryota; Metazoa; Arthropoda; Insecta; Lepidoptera; Bombycidae. The record is from RNAcentral.